AUACUUACCUUGACGGGGUCAAUGGACGAUCAAUAAGACCCAUGGCCUAGGUUGGUGAUUUCCAUUGCACUUUGGAGGGGUGCCCGCCUAAGGUCGACCCAAGUGGCUGAGUCUACGUCAUAAUUUAUUUUAGUGGGGGCCAGCGUUCGCGCAGCCCCUAC
Nicotiana sylvestris (wood tobacco) is the source of this 161-nucleotide non-coding RNA. The record is from Rfam. Lineage: Eukaryota; Viridiplantae; Streptophyta; Magnoliopsida; Solanales; Solanaceae.